Molecule: ribosomal RNA, 573 nt
Filed under: Bacillus anthracis (anthrax bacterium)
Lineage: Bacteria; Bacillati; Bacillota; Bacilli; Caryophanales; Bacillaceae
Description: bacterial SSU rRNA
Rfam family: Bacterial small subunit ribosomal RNA
Source: RNAcentral
UCUUAUGAAGUUAGCGGCGGACGGGUGAGUAACACGUGGGUAACCUGCCCAUAAGACUGGGAUAACUCCGGGAAACCGGGGCUAAUACCGGAUAACAUUUUGAACCGCAUGGUUCGAAAUUGAAAGGCGGCUUCGGCUGUCACUUAUGGAUGGACCCGCGUCGCAUUAGCUAGUUGGUGAGGUAACGGCUCACCAAGGCAACGAUGCGUAGCCGACCUGAGAGGGUGAUCGGCCACACUGGGACUGAGACACGGCCCAGACUCCUACGGGAGGCAGCAGUAGGGAAUCUUCCGCAAUGGACGAAAGUCUGACGGAGCAACGCCGCGUGAGUGAUGAAGGCUUUCGGGUCGUAAAACUCUGUUGUUAGGGAAGAACAAGUGCUAGUUGAAUAAGCUGGCACCUUGACGGUACCUAACCAGAAAGCCACGGCUAACUACGUGCCAGCAGCCGCGGUAAUACGUAGGUGGCAAGCGUUAUCCGGAAUUAUUGGGCGUAAAGCGCGCGCAGGUGGUUUCUUAAGUCUGAUGUGAAAGCCCACGGCUCAACCGUGGAGGGUCAUUGGAAACUGGGAGA